RNAcentral lists this ribosomal RNA (324 nucleotides) under uncultured soil bacterium. RNAcentral's name for it is "bacterial SSU rRNA". It matches the Rfam family "Bacterial small subunit ribosomal RNA", at positions 26 to 351 of the family's 1533-position model. The record is from RNAcentral.
AGAUUGAACGCUGGCGGCAGGCCUAACACAUGCAAGUCGAGCGGUAGAGAGGUGCUUGCACCUCUUGAGAGCGGCGGACGGGUGAGUAAUGCCUAGGAAUCUGCCUAGUGGUGGGGGAUAACGUUCGGAAACGGACGCUAAUACCGCAUACGUCCUACGGGAGAAAGCGGGGGACCUUCGGGCCUCGCGCCAUUAGAUGAGCCUAGGUCGGAUUAGCUAGUUGGUGAGGUAAUGGCUCACCAAGGCGACGAUCCGUAACUGGUCUGAGAGGAUGAUCAGUCACACUAGGAACUGAGACACGGUCCAGACUCCGUACGGGAGCAG